RNAcentral lists this long non-coding RNA (4031 nucleotides) under Sus scrofa (pig). RNAcentral's name for it is "lncRNA (ENSSSCG00030005006.1)". Lineage: Eukaryota; Metazoa; Chordata; Mammalia; Artiodactyla; Suidae. The record is from RNAcentral.
GGCUCCAAACAGUGAUGGAAGGUCAUAGAUACAGGACCAAGAGAGACAGUGAGCUCUAUGAAGACGAGACUUUGUCUGGAUUAAAGAUCAGUUCACUUCUGAGUUCCCGGAGUUUAUCACGGCCUGCCUAAAGAUGGCCUUGGUUGACUGAAUGAAUGAAGCCAAACUAGGUGCUCUUGCAAAUCCUGUUCCUCAUACUCUGUCUUGGUGGUGAGUGGAAGUCCAAUCUUCUUUUUUAGAAAAAUAAUGAACUUUUGUUCAAUUUUAUCAGAGAUUUUGCAUUUUUAUUGAUAUUUUCAAAUACCCUACAAUUUGCUUUGCUUGGGUCUCUUUAUGGUAUGUUUAUUUAUAAAUAUGUUCUUUGUAUAUUUGUUUUCUGUUAUUGAUUUCCACUCAUUUAUCAUUAUCUCCUUUCAACUGGUCCGGUAGCUUUACACAGAUACAAAACAUAAACUCAUGGAAUUCUUACCCAGAUUAACCCCAGGGCAGAAUAGUCACUCAACAGAGAGUAACUCAGCUCAGAGUAACUCAGGUGGCUCUUCUCUGGCAUAUAGCAUAAAUAGGCUCACCUCCAGGCCUGAGGGAAUUUCUUGCAGAGCAAUAAAGUACAGUAUGACAAUGCUAAUCAAGUGUGCUCACUCCUGAAGGAAUGAAGAAACAUGGAAACUCCACAUAUCAAGUGCUCCAAGCUGCAAAGAUCCUACCAUAGAUGAAGUUCCUUAACAAGGAAUUGUAUGACAGCAGGUGUUCAUGUGGAUGGGGUUAUGUUCAGUCACAGAGAAAUACAGGGUUGGAUCAAGUGAGAAUGGAAACCGGGAGCUGGUGAAUUUUCAAGGAAACCAGAAUUAACCCUACACUCUACCGUGCCUUGGGCUAAGGGAUGAACACACAAAAAAACCAUUGCUCCAGGAACUUGGAAGGUGGAGAAUUGGGUCAUUGGAAGCCAGGGUGAUCAAGAAAGUCUUCAUUAUGUGAAUGAAAAAAUAUAUAUAUAUGUUUUUGUCUUGUCUUUUUGCCAUUUCUAGGGCUGCGUCUGUGGCAUAUGGAGGUUCCCAGGCAAGGGGUCUAAUCGGAGCUGUAGCCACCAGCCUACACCAGAGCCACUGCAACUCAGGAUCUGAGCCACGUCUGUGACCUACACCACAGCUCACGGCAACACCGGAUCCUUAACCCACUAAGCAAGGCCAGGGAUCAAACCCGAAACCUCAUGGUUCCUAGUUGGAUUCGUUAACCACUGAGCCGUGACGGGAACUCCUGAAUGGAAAUAUCUUGAAACUAGUACUGAAUCGAACAUUUAUUAACUCAAUAUUUGAAUUUCUUUUGGACCAUUUUUCAAGAAAACAGCCCCUAAUACCAACGUCAUGAGUGUUUAUGCUUUUUUUUUUUUUUUCCUGGAUUUUUUUCUCACAGAUUUCUGUAAGAUAACAUUCCCAGGCCCUGUGGCAUAGACUCUGUUUCCUAAUACAAAUAUCGAAUAGCUACUAAUUGUGUUUUCAGAACCUAAUGCUUGCAGAAAAACUGCCUAUAUCUUCCCUUUUCUACACAGAUUAAAGAGUCUGGGAUUGAUUCUUUGGAUAGAGAAGGUCACUAAAGAUCCAUAAUCAGGCAAAGUCCACAUAAUUCUGUGCCAUUAAAUCAAGCUGACAAAGUCACAUGUCAUAUGACCUUCACUCAACAAUAGGAAGCUGUGUUUGUUCCUUUCCCAUUCAUGGCAAAAGUCCUGGAUAAGCCAAAUGUGCUGCCAUGUGCUGCAGGAGGUACUGUGAUAAAUAUGGCCACCUCAAGGUCAUGGUCUUGAGAGGAAGUCUUAUAAACCAAAAAAAAUCUAGCAAAGGCCUGUUUUUGUUGUAUUUACUUGAAUGGCCUAGAUAGUUAUGGAGAUCUAUCUGUGGUGAUGCAUCAGACAGAGGCACUAUAGAUAAUGGGAUCCUCAAAAUGAUAUUUCCAUUGAUGUUAAAUCUGUAUUUUUUUUAUGGCCAUACCCAGGGCAUAUGGAAGUUCCUCAGCCAGGAUUGAAGCCGAGCCACAGCUGCAAUCUACUCGGCAGCUGCAGCAAAACCAGAUCCUUUAACCCACUGCAUGAGGCCAGAGAUCGAACCUGCACCUCUGAAGUGACCCAUGUUGUUUUAGUUGGAUUCUCAACCUACUGAGCUACAGUGGGAACUCCAAUGUUAAAUCUUAGUGUUAAAUGAGCUAUAACAACUAGGAAUGGCCACCCUGGUUGGUCUUUACAAAGCCCCUGCACUUAAAUGAAUAGGACUUGAAUUAUGGAAGAUCUGGAAAGAAAAUCAAUACUACAAGUAGAGAAGAAAGUGUUGGACUAUUUCUUUAUGAUAUUCUGAUCAUUUAAUUGUUAUACAGAUCAGUGAAAUGUAGUAAAACAAUUCUAAGGAAAUGAGAACUCUAUUGUCUAAGUCACAUGCUGUGUGUAUUUAUUUCACUGUUUAUGUACCAAUCUAUGAUACUUAUUGAAUAUUCACUUUGUACCAAAGAAUGUGCUAAGUGUUUUGUAUAUACUGUCUCCCCGAAGACUUGUAGCAACCCCAUGAUACAGGUAUGGUCAGCAUACUUAUUUUAUAGAAGAGAAAAAUUAAUGCUUUCAGUAACUUCAGGAUCAGGAUUAGAUAACUUCUAAUCUAUAAUAGAAAACUCAAAAACUUCAGGAUUUAAAUGUGGAAAGGUAGCCUUAAUUUUGGCUGGUUGCACUGUUCUCACCACACAGCUGUCAUGUAUGAAUCACAGACAUAGAUAUCUUCAGCCAGAGAAAGUGUCAGUGUUUCCAGCCACUAAAGGUAAAUCAGAUCACCUUUGUAGUAGCAUUUCUGAAAGAAAAAAAGUAUAUAAAUUAACAGAAAGCUAAUCACUUCCAUUAUAACAUAUAAAUAAACACUGAAAAAUUAUGUCUAUUUUUUGUCAAUGAAAAAAAAAAAAAGAUAGAAACCUGCAAGAUCGUGAAAUAGGAAGACCCUGAGCUCAUCUCCCAAGAGACCUAUCAAUGAGAAAGGUAGAAAAAGCACAGACAAUGCUUGAAAAUGAAGCACAGAGAGUCCCAAACAAGAUGAAUCCAAAGAGAUCCAUUCCAAGACACACUGUAAUCAAAAUGGCAAAAAAUUAAAAAUAAAGAGAAAAAUCUUAAAAACAACUAGUUACAUACAAGGAAACUACCAUAAGACUGUCAGCUGAAUUUUCAGAAGAAACUUUUCAGACCAGAGGGGAGUAGCAUGAUGUAUUUAAAGUGAUUAAAAGAAAAAAAAACUGUAACCAAGAACAUUCUUCAAAAAUUUCAUUUAGAUUUGAAGAAGCAAAGAAUUACACAGCCAAGCAAAAGCUAAGAGUUCAACACCACUAUACCAGCUUUACAGGAAAUAUUAAAGGGACUUCUCUAAGUAAAAUCAUCUAUAGCCAGAAUAACCUGUUAAACAAAAAUAUGAAAAAAUAUAAUGUCAAAAACAGUAAACAUGGAGGAGGAGGUAGUAAAAAUUCAGGUUUUUAGAUUCAUUUAAACUUAAGAGAUUGGCAACUGAAAAUGAUCAUAUAUAUACAAAUCUCAAGAUAACCAAAAAUCUAUAAUAUAAACACACACAAAAAAGAGAGAGGAAUUCAAACAUAACACUAAAGAUAGUCAUCAUAUCACAGGGAAAGAGAGUAAAAGAUGAAGAAAGGAACAAAAAUAAACUGUAAAAACAACCCCAAACAAUUAACAAAAUAGCAUUAAGCACAUACCUGUAAAUAAUUAAUAAUUAUGUAACAAGAAUGUAAAUAGACUAAAUCUUCCAAUGAAAAAACAUUAAGUGUCUGAUACAAAAAUAUGAUCUAUAUGUGAAUUAGAUGCCCCUGAGGAUUCAGGUUCAAUUCCUGGCCUCACUUAGUGGGUUAAGGAUCUGACAUUGCUGCAAGCUGCAGCACAGGUCACAGAUGCAGCUUGAAUCCAGUGUCGCCUUGGCGAUGGCAUAUGCCUGCAGCUGCAGCUCUGAUUUGACUCCCUAGCCCAAAUACCACAGGUGUAGCCAUUAAAAAAAAAAAAAAAAAAA